UCCUUACGGAGACAUUUCUACAUCCACAUUCAGUGGGGUAAUUUCCGGGCUGGGCUCUGCUGGUGUGGACCUACCCGGGCCGGUACUUUCCUGAGUUUUUAAAAGUUCUGAGACCGAGCUACAUUGCUUUCCUGUGAGUUCCUUUACCAGCCGAACAUGACCAGCUCCAAAGAAAGCAUCCAGACGGCUGAUGGACGUGGCAGGAGGUAACUGCGACACGUCCUUCUUGGACCGAGCCAUGGCUUGCAAGGCAGCGGCAGUGACCGUGGACUCCACUUUCAUGUCUCUUAAGGCUCCUCCGUCCCCGGCUUUCCCCACCUUAGGUCCGCUUCCACAUCUCUCCACUGUGUGAACCUGCCAGCCCAGCUCUGAUCCACUUCCACAUCUAUCCGCCAUGUGAACCUGCCAACCCAGCUCUGAUCCACUUCCACAUCUAUCCGCCAUGUGAACCUGCCAGCCCAGCUCUGAUCCGCUUCCACAUCUAUCCACCAUGUGAACCUGCCAGCCCAGCUCCGAUCUGCUUCCACAUCUAUCCACCGUGUGAACCUGCCAGCCCAGCUCUGAUCCACUUCCACAUCUAUCCACCAUGCGAAUCCGCUCUGCUGGCCCCGGUCUGCUUCCACGUCUGUCCGCUAUGCGGACCUGCCGAGCUGGUACCAUUUGCCCGCAAAGGGGUCCCUGUUUAGAGCGCCAGGGCUGCACAGGAAUGUCAAGUCUCCAGCUCAUUAUGGGACCAUAUGACUACCCUGGACUUUGAACUCAGAUAAACUCCCUACUGAAUGAAAACGUGUAAAAUGCUUCCAGCAAAGACUAUUUUGCACCAGACUGUACUAAGAAGUGCAACAGAAUUUCAACACUUACAUUUCAGAGGCACAGAAGAGAAGAACCAUCCUUGUCCAGAGUGCAGCAUUUUGGGGGAGGCUCCAGAGUGCCUCCCCCAUACAACAGCAACAAUCAUAUCAACCUAUGGAAGCAUGCUGGUUGUGGUUUAGUUUGGGGAAUAAAACAUCCUGAUUCCAUAUAAUGAUGCAUGAGCUUCUGUCUAACCAAUGCACACAGUUUUGCUUCCAAAAGCAAAUUUUCAGAAGUCCCAAAAUCACAUAUUUAAAUCAGUAAAAUCGGGUCCAAGCUGACAAUGUUGGGAUAGAUCAGAAUUUCUGCAUGCUUUUUAGCCUGGAGAGAUACGAGAGUUUAUCUAAUAUUUGGAUAAAGAAAAAGAAAAUCCCAGCCCUGAUCAUUAGGAUAUUUUUCCCUAGGAGCAGAAUAUAUGGCUUGGACCCUGGCUCACCUCCUGUUUCCUUGUGGUUUUCACUGGAUAAAGCAUUCCUCUCCACUUCCUCCUGUGAACAUUUGUACCCUGUUGUGGGGCACUAAUCAGUAUCUCCUGCCCUCUGCCCCAGAGAGGCAUUUUAGCAAAAAGUGAAUUAAUUUCUAAAAGUCAUAAUUAGAUCUUAUAAGAUAGAGAUAGAGAGAUAGAGAUAUAGAGAUAUAGAGAUAGAGAGAGAUAGAGAUAGAGAGAUAGAGAUUGAUAGAGACAGAGAUGAUAGAGAUAAACAUGGAUCUGUUAACCCUUGUUUUGCCUUCCUAGGGAUCCAUGAGACACUAUCUCCUGUAUCAGAAUGGUGGCUCAUGAAGAGGGACAGCACUGGCAAAGGAGCCAAAGGGUGAUGCUGCACAUCCAGAAAUGCACUUUGGUUGUGGGAAAACUCUUCCAAUUAAUCCAUCCAACGGGGUGGUUUGGGAUUUGACUUCCAUCCUUGUAAGGGAGAUUACGAAGUUGAUUACGGAGAUUGAAAAUUUGAAGGGUUUUGAUCAGGGCAAAGCUCCAACCAAAGAGAGAGGCAAGUUUCAGAGGGAGAUGUAAAAUUUUCAGUGCCUCUGGUGGAAAGCCUCUAGAGGCACUUAAACGGAGUUCGAGAAGCAAUCUGCUCCAUCCAGCAGAAAACGAUGCACAUCCCUGAGGUGAGACAUUGCCAUCAUGUGGCCAUUCCAACUCUGCAGGAACACCAGCAGGGACAGGAGGAAUCGGAACGUUAUCCCAGAUUUUCAGCUUUUUCAAUUGUCUUCAGCACUGAGAGCCUACACGAGAACUGGUGAGGGGGUGACAUCCUCUCCUGACAACCCUCUCCAACCAAAAACACUCGUUUCCCCAGACCUGCCCUCCUUUAUGCCAGGGAGAAGAAGCAUUUUCUGUUUCCCAAGGCACAGCACUCAAUGCCAGGGUGACAUUGCACUGCACAGAAUACAGCACAACUGGCCAUCCAAAAUGAACAGAAACACCAGAAAUGCCAAAUGGAACAUUCCUGAUGUCAGGAAGCCAGUCUUCAGGAGUAAUCUGAAUGAGAAUAGCACAAUGGCCAGGACCGGGAAGGAAAUAGAGCAAAUAUAUAUGUGAACAUAUAUGAGGACAAUAUACAAAAGUUAGUAUAGAGUCAGGAGUGGAAAGCAAAGCAAAUUAACCAAAUGAUGAAUUUAAGGAAAAAAAAAUAUACUGACAGAGCGCAAAACAUGGUGGAAUGCAGAAGUGAGCUGUGAUAAAAUAUGCAGAUGGCAAUGUUUUACAGUGGAGCAGCAACAGAAUUAAACACAAUCCAGGAAAUAUGAGGGGAAAUGAGAGCAGCAACGACAAAUAAUUUCAUGCUUGAGCCAAAAGCUGUUCAUCCACACAAAAUUUAUGUUUGCCCUCCUCUGGCACCAUGGUAAAAAGCAUGAUUUGGCUUACUCGCAGAAUGGCCCACCACUUCCUGGAAUUACAGCCUCAGGGAGGGGGACACAAACUUCCUAAGAAAGGGAAAACCUUGAUGCAGAAAUACAACAGGAGUUUUCUGUCCAGCUGGCACACCAGGCAGAUAAACACACAAAUAAUUUGUAAAGAAACUCUGUUGGAUGUUCCUUAGAACACCCAGAUUUCAGCUAUAACAAUAUUGUAGCAAAACUUCACUAAUAAAAAAGGGCAAUGGUAUCACUUGAGAAAUGAAACAAAAUAUUGACAGGCACAGACCAGCAGCUCAGCUCCCACAGUUGCCUGGCCCUGCAAAGGCAAAUUCUGUUUGUGUUCCUGUUUCCCAGCAACUGGCACCUGGAAACACCUAAAAGAACCUGCCUGCUGCCACCAUCUCAACUGGGGCCAAACCCCUGCACUGGGAAAGAUUCUUCUGCACUGAAGUGCCCAAACCAGGGAGGAACCUUCUUCUGCACUACAGAAUUUGCAAAGAAAAAUUGCAAGAGCCUGUCACCCUGAAAACUCAGCUUCUGAGCUUGCUGAUAUAGUUUUCUAAGACUUUCCCAGGACAGUAACUGAAAACAUAGAGAUAGGUAUACAUUCCUGUUACACAUCUUGUGAUGGACAACUCCCAUGGCCAGUGGAGUGGGAAAGUGUUAUCCUGACCAUCCAAUCCCUGGCCAUGGUCAGAAACCUAUAAAUCCUGGGAGGAAAAAUAAACUUUCUCUUUCCU
This is a long non-coding RNA of Poecile atricapillus (Black-capped chickadee), 3455 nucleotides long. RefSeq lists it as uncharacterized. Lineage: Eukaryota; Metazoa; Chordata; Aves; Passeriformes; Paridae. The record is from RefSeq and is a predicted model, not a curated record. The transcript has 3 exons.